UCCGCCCAGAAAGCUGUCGGGGGCGGGGCCCAGGCCCCUGCAGUUGGGGCGGGGGGCGAAGGAGAGGAAGCGGGUCUGGGAAGCCGAGUGGAGGCAGAGCCUCCCACAGGGAAGCCGCCCAGGGGCGGGGCCGAGGGCCAGACUGCCAACCAGGGGAGGGUCGCGCACAGACAACGAGGGGUUCGCGCGGGAGAGGGCGGAGCUUCGGAGAGCGAGCCGCGGAUUCAAAACACCGGCUGGGGGCCGGGCGGAGGACGAGAAGCUUGACCGAGACUGAGCCCAGGAGGGGAGACCGGGUAGUGGCGGCCACCCGGGGCGAGUCUAGGCAGACGGGGCGGGAGAAGGCGGAGCCUGGGAUGGCGCCUGGGGCACCCACCGAGCCCGUCGAGUAUUUCCCCUCAAUUACUCAACGAACUCAUUGUAAUUCAGCUGGCCGUUGCCUCACUCACGAACCUCAGGCAGGCCUGUUUGCACGUCUCAGUUUCUCCACCGGAGUGGGGUAAUCUCCACGGUUCCGAAUGCGAAUGGAAUUCUUGAAAAAAGGCUGAUCUUCAAAAAGAGUCCAUUAACGCAGGCGUGCUUUGAUUAACAGAUGAGAGCUACUGCAACUUUACACAAAACUGUGUGGCCAGUGUGCCCGGGAACAGUGGGACCUUUCAUCUCCUCCAUUCGCUCCCUGCACCCCCAGUCCCCAGCACUGCCAGUGAGUCACCCACAAAGCCAGCCAGCAGCGCCGCCAAGCAGAGCGAUACUAACAAUAAACUGUAGCGCCGUGACUUGCCUAAGGUCAUGCCGCGGAGGAUAAAGCAGGAGAACGUGUGUUGCUGUAGAGGAGCUGAAAUACCGGCACAAACAAGUUGUUCUUUAUUUGGACGGGGGCGGGCAGAGGGUAAGGUAAACCUGUUUGAGAGAAAACCACACGGGGUUCCCACUCGGAGGACCCAAGACCACCCCCCGCCGCAAGGACCUAUGGAUAGAAUCACAUUUCAAUGUAAGUUGCUUCCUUUGAA
Long non-coding RNA from Suricata suricatta (meerkat), 1010 nucleotides. RefSeq lists it as uncharacterized. The record is from RefSeq and is a predicted model, not a curated record. The transcript is spliced from 2 exons. Lineage: Eukaryota; Metazoa; Chordata; Mammalia; Carnivora; Herpestidae.